This 267-nucleotide long non-coding RNA is filed under the name Apteryx owenii (little spotted kiwi). RNAcentral's name for it is "lncRNA (ENSAOWG00000002455.1)". Lineage: Eukaryota; Metazoa; Chordata; Aves; Apterygiformes; Apterygidae. The record is from RNAcentral.
GGGGCACAGCUCUUAUGGAGGCAUUUCUGGAAAAAUAAUGUUUUUUCUUGUUCUGCAGGAUCCCCUGGCCUUGAUGAUGGAAAUGAAUUAAGUGCUAAGUGGCACUGCAGUGAAAGCCUGCCGCAUAUAGCUUCGCUUCCUGCAGGACAGAGCCUCCUCAGCCUCCAAAGUGGUAGAGAGGCGCCCAGGUAAACUGAGUCCACAGGGCUGGCACUAGGAGGCUGAAAAUAAUGACAGCCAGACCACCUUUCUAUGCCUACCAGGGAG